AUUUUAAUAACAACCUUGAAGUCACACUAACUAUUGUUAUUUCUAAAAAUAAUCAAAUGAGCCUGGGUAUCCUAGAAGGAACAUUGUUGUGCAUGUUGUUGAUAUUUCAGUGGUAGCAGGAGCCCUGUGAAUUGAAUUUAGUUACUAAUAGGAGCUAGCUUAGCUCCACGUAGAUAUUUUAAAGUAUCAGAAACAUAAUGACUUAGGAAAACUAAAUCCAUACAUUGCUAGGGUUUACAAUUUAACCACUCAGUUCAACAUUUGAUUACUAAUAGUCUUGCUCAAAUCUAGAAUAUAUUUCCCUGUUUACUAUUAUCAUGAAUUAUGUGUCUUUAUGUUCAUUUUUCUCUCUCUUUCACUA
Molecule: long non-coding RNA, 361 nt
Filed under: Homo sapiens (human)
Lineage: Eukaryota; Metazoa; Chordata; Mammalia; Primates; Hominidae
Description: HSALNT0090037
Source: RNAcentral